AUAAAUAAUGUGGCUUUCAGCAACUCACUGUUUGACAAAAAAGCUGCAAAGCUUUUUAGAUGUUGCAGUUAAAUUUAAAGUCAUGGUUUCUUUCUAUCCAAUAUGUGGUGUCAUUUAAACCUUCAAAGAGAUAAUAGUGUUGUAUAUUUAUGUACAAAUAUAUAACAUAGGUCACAAGAACAAUAAACAUGAAUACCAGACCAAACAUCAUCAACAAGACAAUAAACCUCGACAGAAAUCAUUCAUAAAUGAAACGCAGACUAAGAGAUAAAAGACCGUUUAAUUAUGAAAUUCAUAAUGAUCACGAGUGAAAACAUGAACUAUGGACAAUAGACUCUGCUGAAUGAAAUCACCAUACCAAUUCUUCCAUCAAACUAAGAAAUGCUAAAAAAAAUGAAAAAAAGGAACCCACUUCCAAUUCAAAACCGUAUUGACAAGAGGCAAUACUUCACAGAAUAAGAAAUAUAGGAAACAAUAAUUAAAAAUUCUUCUUUACUGAAAGAUAAUAGAAUUUCAAUUUUUUUAUUGAUCUGAAUUUCCAUGACAGACAUUCUAUGCUUCUCAAGCAUCCAUAAUGGAAGCAAAAUACGAGCUGAGAAAAAAAUAAAAUUUUGGAAAAUUUAUGCCUUAGAAGAAAAGUCUAAAAGAACAUCACUAAUGCCCUCCCAACUUUUGAAGUUUCAUACCUGCCAAAUUAAAAAGGAAAUCCUUCUUAGAAAAUCCAAGUUCGUAAGCAAAACUGUAAAAUGGCAAUGCUCCAAAGUUCUAGUUUAUCUUAAACCAGUUUACUAACCCAUUAUUCAUAACGAAACAGAAAACCACCGCUGGAAUAUGCAUAAUUGCCACAACAGUUAAACCUACCCAACUGUGCUAUAAUCUAGCUGGAAUAAAAAACCACCAAUCUAGUCUCUAAACUACCACUCUCUCCAAUUUAGUACCUAAAUGAUAUACAUAUGAUAAGUAGUCCCGAGUAUAUGAAACCCGUAUAUGAAAAUCCUUCAAUUUAGUCCCUGACAUCUUAAUAACAGGGACUAAGUUAACAGAUUUUAUAUACUUUAAGGACUAAAUUGAAGAGUGAGCAAUAGUAGUUUAGGGACUAAAUUGAANAUCUUAAACCAGUUUACUAACCCAUUAUUCAUAACGAAACAGAAAACCACCGCUGGAAUAUGCAUAAUUGCCACAACAGUUAAACCUACCCAACUGUGCUAUAAUCUAGCUGGAAUAAAAAACCACCAAUCUAGUCUCUAAACUACCACUCUCUCCAAUUUAGUACCUAAAUGAUAUACAUAUGAUAAGUAGUCCCGAGUAUAUGAAACCCGUAUAUGAAAAUCCUUCAAUUUAGUCCCUGACAUCUUAAUAACAGGGACUAAGUUAACAGAUUUUAUAUACUUUAAGGACUAAAUUGAAGAGUGAGCAAUAGUAGUUUAGGGACUAAAUUGAAGGUUUAUUCAUUCUAGCUACUUCAUAUUAAGAAAAAAGCUAUUAUUUUUUUGUUGCCUUUGGCAUCGCUUUGAACAUAAAAUUACUAUUUUUGGUGUGAACCAGAUACCCUAAGUACGCAAUUGCAUAGACUAAUCCCUCGAGCUAGAGCCAAGGGGACCACAAUGGAUGUGCAUCAAAAUACUAUAAUGACAAUAAAUCAAUAUUGGCAUGCCAUGACCCAAAUUACCCAUAAACGUUUCUUCAGAUAAAAAAACAAACUUUAACGUGAUUCUUCAAUACCCUAUGAUUAAUUAUAUCUCUAGAAAUAAAACAAAAUCACAUCCAAUUUCAUAUUUGUAUUGUUGUUGUUGCAUGUAAUGGAAACAAAAUAUGUAAAGAACUUGACCUUGAUGAAGACAACAGCCAAGGUUUAAGCUCUUUUUCGGCGCGGUGGUUGCAAGCUCCGGCGUGGUGGUCACCGGCGAAGGUUGUCCGUUCCUGAUAUUUUUAAAUGGGUUUUGUAGAGAAGAUGGAGGGGACUCUUUUUAUGGUGAUGGAUUAAGUUUGAACUCGAUUUCGUUGUAGGAGUCCAACCCUUCACUAUAUUUAACUUGCAUUAGUGAAUGGUGAAUGUUACUUAUAUAUAUUAGAGUAAAUUACACUCCCCUCCCCUCAAAGAUGCUUGAAUUACACUUCCCUUCCUUUAAAGAUGCUUGAAUUACACUCCCCUCCCCUCUUAUGUUAUGUUAAAAUAUACACUCCCCUCCCUUGAAAAUUAAAAUUUAUACUCCCUUCUUGUGUUAAAAUAUACACUCCCCUUCCUUGAAAGUAAAAUUUAUACUCCCCUCCCUUAUAAGAUGUUUGAAUUACAACCUCCUCCCUUAAUAAUUAAAUAGGGACUACACUUUAAUCCAUUUUAACAUAAGUAAAUAUUUUUAUAAUAUAUAUUAAUUUUGAAUCACCAUUUAAAAUAUAUAAAUUCGUUUCUUUAUAAUCUAAAUUUAAAUUUAAAUAUUUUGUAAUUAAUUUUAUAAUUUAGAGUACAAAAUUCACUUUUAAAUAACUAUACUUAAUCGAUUUUAGUAAUUUUUCACAUAUUUUAAUUUUAUUUUGGGUUGUUUCAUAUUUUAUAACAGGGUUUAAAACUAUAUGUUAAUGAAUUGUGAAUAAAAAAUAGAGAAAGAUGUGUAUUCAUAAUUUGAUUAUAUUAAAAUGAACCCGCAAUGUUUUUUUUCUUUGAAGUGUGCUAGAUUAUUUCUUUGCUAGAUUAUUGGAAAUAAAAAAAAAUUAUUGAGGGAUUAAAGCGUAGAUUUUAACUUAAGAGAUGAGGGAAAUGUAAUUCAAUCUUCUCUCAAGGGAGGGGAGUGAAAUAUUUUCUAAUAUAUUUUGAAUAAGAGGGGAUGAGAGUGUAUAUUUUAACAUAAGAGGGGUGGGGAGUGUAAUUUACUCUAUAUUAUACGAUAGGAAUGCUAACAAAAUUUCUUAUUUUAAAAUCUGAACUCAGGAUUUAACUCAAGUUAUUCGGGAUGGUUCAUAGGAGUAUAUAUAUGUCCCAAAAUCUUGAUUGCAUUCUAAAAAAAAAUGUGAUGAAUAAUUGAGAACAAACAAACGUGUUAUAUUCUGCAAUGAGAAAAGUUAACAAAAUUUUAAAAAAUAUUUGCUUGCAAUUUUAAAUUCAUAAUUUUUCUGUACCAUUUAAACAAAAACCAUCUUAAAUUUUAACAACAAAAGAAAGCAAUUCUUUUAACUGUGCCAAUAAUAAUAACACACUCCAAAAGCUCAAACGGUAAAAACAUUAUUCUUUGUUAGCUAAACAUGUGAUGAUAGUAAUAAACACAUUUCUCCCCCACAAAAAAGGCAAAAGAAAAUUUUGAUGUUCCAAAAAAGAAAAAGCGCAAACGUUCACAAAAUCCCGUAACGACUGCACAAGUUCAUCUACCAUCUAAAGGGAUACUUUACCAACAAUACAGUUGACAUAAGCUUUCGGCGAUGUUUGUUCAGUAGUAAGCCUUGCGAGGAUUGUUCUGGAAAAACAAACACAAUCACAAUAUGAAAACAAGGUUACAUAGUAACUCAGACAUCACUACAAAACAAUUCAUAAUAGAAGGGGAAAUUACCAGAGGAUUUGGCCUGUGACGGUAGCCAAGCAUCAUCCGCUUUUUAUACUGCUCAUAGAUGUCAUCCUCAGGAGUCACCUCCCCAGGUUGGACAGCACCUACUCCCAAGUUAUCUUUCUUAACACUGCCUGCCAUUAUAGGAUCUGCAAUACCCUUCCUAGAGCCCCCUAGACCCUCACCUGCAUUAUCAUCAAUGUCAGCACAAGAAAGAAAUGGCAAGUAUAUAAAUGUCAUACAACAGUUAGAGCUCGAGUUGGACUCUUAAAUGCAUUCAUCGACUUGAAAGGAAAAACACUUGAAGAAAUUUUAAGCACCUUCUUUCCAACCCAUUUUUGAUAAAAGCUUGUGGCCCACAUUAUAAGCCUGAAUUUUGGCCCUCUCAGCAGCCUCCUUUGCAGCUUUCAUAGCUGCUGCAUCGUUACAGCUAGCCAAGAACUUCUCCAGUUCUUCCUGAGGAAUAUAAUCACCCAUGUGAUGGCCUUUUUUCCCUGAAGCUGAAGCUGCGUUCAAGAUAAAGCAUUCAAGAGAUUAUUACAUUUACAAAAAGAAAAUUCACAAUUCAACCUGUUCAAAUAAAAUGAAAACAAAUCCAAUAAAAACCAGGUAACAAUCACCAUCAUAAGUUGAGCCUUGAAGAGAUGGAGGAGGGGGCAUCUCAUCUUUUGAAUGCCUAGGUUGUUUGAACUUUUCUUCCUGUGCGGCUUUCUUCAUGUAAAACUCCAUUAGUGCUAAAGAAUUGGCCUUUGAUGAUCCACCGGGCUCAUCUGAACAGAUAUACAAAACGCAUGCAUCAAUAAAAUGUUGCAUACAAAGAUACAUGAGGUUCUUGACAACUGAGAGUCCUACAAACUCGGAUACAAAUAUAAUUUCCAUCCACUAAUCCUUUUGAAAACAACAUGAUGGCAGCUAAAGUAUCAUAAUGAUGGCUAAACUGCCAUGCUGUAUAAGUAUCCCUUACCCGAGCUUCCAACUGAAAAUGCUUGUCCUGCAGAUCCAGAACCCCUUGGUACGUCAGCACUAUCAUAUAAAGCAGAGGCAGGGAUUUGGUAAGUUGACUGCUGCUGGGACGAUCUCUGAGGACCAUUUGUUGGUCUGGAAGAUGGAAUGCUUGUCCCUGCUGAGGGUUAAAUUGUUCAACAUUACAAGCCAAAAUAGACUAAACCAUGUAAAGAAAAAGAGAAAACAUACUGCAGGAAUGAGAGGGAGCCUCAUCUAAUCCCAUAAAGUACAACCAAGACAACACUUCUUAUAUCUACACAUCGAUUGGCGAAUGAGGCAUGGGCAUAUGAUUUACUAAUUCAUUAUUCAAGCAUCAACCUCCCGCCAAAACAACAAUUGCAGUUAUGAAAAACAACUCUCAAGAAAUGUGAAAUUAUAUUUUCCUUCGAUGUGAGAACAGUUGCCAAGGACACCUAGCAAUGUCUUACACAUGGCUAUUUUGCAAGGCGGAGACGGGAUUUUCCCUGCCAUCCCCACCUCCACCCCCGUCCCUAGUAGGGUCAAACAAAUUGAUAAUGACCUUGUCUUCUCCCCAUUGAGGUCAGCAAAUCCCGUCAAUCUUUUUCUUAAUUUUAUUCAUAUGUGUAUGCAAGCCCAGACUUAUUGUCAUGUCUACCCAAAAAACCAAAUAGUAAAUUCAUGAAAAACACUAACCAUUUUGAUAUGCCUGUGGUUCGUUGGACUGUGAAAGGGCCUUCUCCUCUUGAGCAAGCCGAUGUUCAUAAUAUUUAUAGUCAGAACAUUUAACAUCAAAUAAAAACCUGCAUGCUCAAACAACACCACACAUUCAGUUAGAAAUUACAAAUCAUAAGCAAAAGACUGAUGCAACAGGAUUAUGAGUUAACUCCAAACAUACUUGAAAGGUGAGUCUCCAGGGUUUUUUUGCCAUGUAACAUCCUCAAAUGGCCUUCCAUUUUUAGCCACAAAACUUGCAAAUUUGUCAGCAACUUUCUUCACUGUAGGAUCACUUGGGGGAGGAGGUGCUGCAUAUCACUUAUAAAACUGAUUAAUACCAAGAGCAUGAACAAGGGAAUGGAAAUUACUCUUGUAGCAGGCGUGCCAAUACCCCAUUCUUGAUAGGUACUUGAGGAAUAAGCUGCAUUCAUGACACAAGAUAUUCAAAGACGUUUUCUCCUCUUUGCUGAAUGUCUUUUCAGUUAGCAAAGAAGGAAUAUGUGGUGAAUACUUCUUCAAUAACGAAACUGGGCUUAAUGUAGAGGACUCUACUUUUUACGAGAAGAAAACGGCUAAAAAAAUAGUGUAGAUCUUCCAUCAAAUAAAUACCUCAAGGAGUAGUUCAGGACAUGCUUCACAAAUACACCCAAGAGGACACUCAUUUUAUACACCUCUCUACUUCCUUUUUAUGAUCCAGGGGAUAAAUAUGACAAAUAAUUUUCUAUUUUAAAUCAAUACAUGUAUGUUCUUUCAUCCUCAUAUGAAAAAUAUUGUGAUGAAGGGAUAAAAUUUAUGAAUGGGGAGAUCAGCAUUCAAGAAGGAAAAAGCAAGUUUUCCAAGAUGCAAAGAGAACAAGAAAUAGGAAAGAGACAGGGAGGAAACAAAAUCAGAAAGUAGAUGCCAUCUAAGACAUAUUGAAUUGACAAAAAGCUGCAGUGAUCUGUAAGUUAGAAAGAGAGUGUAUGGCGUGCAUCAUCAGGAAACAAAAUUAUCACUAAUCCAUCAACAUGGAUAGACUUGGAAUGACCAACCAUAAUUAAAAUAUAGAAUCACUACGUAAUAAUUUUAUUGGAUAAUUCCUACCAACUAUCUUGCAUAAGAUUUGAGUGAGAAGUAAUUACCAACAUCAAGCUGUCUUGAUGAUUGCUCAAUGCCGUCAUCCUGACCCAAUUUUUGCCGUUUUGUCAGUGCAUCAAUUGAAACAUACCCAGCAUCUAUUUCAUCUUCAUCGUCAUCAGCCAACUUAACAGGGGGUGGUACUAGCUUUGACUUUUGUUUCAAGCUGAAAGCAAGUUUGCCACUGGAACCACCCUGUGAAGAUUUCUUUGCAUCAUUAGCCUUACUAAUGGAGGGUUUGGAAGUCAGAGGUCCUGAAACAACUUUAAUUGGUUUAGAGUCCUCUGGCUUGGCAUUUUUCCCCCUCUCCUGCUCUUGUUGGAGCUGCCUGAACCUCUCCAUAAACGAACCAUCAUUGACAAAGAGGGUAGGAGGUGGUCCCUUGUCCAUCGGUUAAGGUCCAAAAUAAAUAAUGUGGCUUUCAGCAACUCACUGUUUGACAAAAAAGCUGCAAAGCUUUUUAGAUGUUGCAGUUAAAUUUAAAGUCAUGGUUUCUUUCUAUCCAAUAUGUGGUGUCAUUUAAACCUUCAAAGAGAUAAUAGUGUUGUAUAUUUAUGUACAAAUAUAUAACAUAGGUCACAAGAACAAUAAACAUGAAUACCAGACCAAACAUCAUCAACAAGACAAUAAACCUCGUCAGAAAUCAUUCAUAAAUGAAACGCAGACUAAGAGAUAAAAGACCGUUUAAUUAUGAAAUUCAUAAUGAUCACGAGUGCAGACAUGAACUAUGGACAAUAGACUCUGCUGAAUGAAAUCACCAUACCAAUUCUUCCAUCAAACUAAGAAAUGCUAAAAAAAAUGAAAAAAAGGAACCCACUUCCAAUUCAAAACCGUAUUGACAAGAGGCAAUACUUCACAGAAUAAGAAAUAUAGGAAACAAUAAUUAAAAAUUCUUCUUUACUGAAAGAUAAUAGAAUUUCAAUUUUUUUAUUGAUCUGAAUUUCCAUGACAGACAUUCUAUGCUUCUCAAGCAUCCAUAAUGGAAGCAAAAUACGAGCUGAGAAAAAAAUAAAAUUUUGGAAAAUUUAUGCCUUAGAAGAAAAGUCUAAAAGAACAUCACUAAUGCCCUCCCAACUUUUGAAGUUUCAUACCUGCCAAAUUAAAAAGGAAAUCCUUCUUAGAAAAUCCAAGUUCGUAAGCAAAACUGUAAAAUGGCAAUGCUCCAAAGUUCUAGUUUAUCUUAAACCAGUUUACUAACCCAUUAUUCAUAACGAAACAGAAAACCACCGCUGGAAUAUGCAUAAUUGCCACAACAGUUAAACCUACCCAACUGUGCUAUAAUCUAGCUGGAAUAAAAAACCACCAAUCUAGUCUCUAAACUACCACUCUCUCCAAUUUAGUACCUAAAUGAUAUACAUAUGAUAAGUAGUCCCGAGUAUAUGAAACCCGUAUAUGAAAAUCCUUCAAUUUAGUCCCUGACAUCUUAAUAACAGGGACUAAGUUAACAGAUUUUAUAUACUUUAAGGACUAAAUUGAAGAGUGAGCAAUAGUAGUUUAGGGACUAAAUUGAAGGUUUAUUCAUUCUAGCUACUUCAUAUUAAGAAAAAAGCUAUUAUUUUUUUGUUGCCUUUGGCAUCGCUUUGAACAUAAAAUUACUAUUUUUGGUGUGAACCAGAUACCUAAGAACGCAAUUGCAUCGACUAAUCCC
Molecule: long non-coding RNA, 7977 nt
Filed under: Medicago truncatula (barrel medic)
Lineage: Eukaryota; Viridiplantae; Streptophyta; Magnoliopsida; Fabales; Fabaceae
Description: long non-coding RNA (MTRU_LNC006054)
Source: RNAcentral